GACGAACGCUGGCGGCGUGCUUAACACAUGCAAGUCGAGCGGUAAGGCCCUUUCGGGGGUACACGAGCGGCGAACGGGUGAGUAACACGUGGGUGACCUGCCCUUAGCUCUGGGAUAAGCCUGGGAAACUGGGUCUAAUACCGGAUAUGACUCCAUGACGCAUGUUGUGGGGUGGAAAGCCUUGUGCGGCUAGGGAUGGGCCCGCGGCCUAUCAGCUUGUUGGUGGGGUGANGGCCUACCAAGGCGACGACGGGUAGCCGGCCUGAGAGGGCGACCGGCCACACUGGGACUGAGACACGGCCCAGACUCCUACGGGAGGCAGCAGUGGGGAAUCUUGCGCAAUGGGCGAAAGCCUGACGCAGCGACGCCGCGUGGGGAUGA
RNAcentral lists this ribosomal RNA (381 nucleotides) under uncultured bacterium. RNAcentral's name for it is "bacterial SSU rRNA". It matches the Rfam family "Bacterial small subunit ribosomal RNA", at positions 28 to 411 of the family's 1533-position model. The record is from RNAcentral.